Molecule: long non-coding RNA, 629 nt
Filed under: Rattus norvegicus (Norway rat)
Lineage: Eukaryota; Metazoa; Chordata; Mammalia; Rodentia; Muridae
Description: long non-coding RNA NONRATT004502
Source: RNAcentral
UACCUGAGUUGUAGAUUCUGAUUUGGGUGGGACCACAAGAAUGAGUAAUGGUAGAGUUGCCGAAUACAGGUAGUAUGUGUACUGUUAUGUUUAGUAGGUCCUGUGGAAGACAGAAUACUAAAAGAUGGAAAAAUCUGUUUGCCUUUAUCCCUCAGGGGUUCCUUGUGGAGGCCCACCCAGAAAAUGCCUGCAGUCCUAUUGCCCCACCACCCUCAGCCCCAGUCAAUGGGUCAGUCUUUAUUGCACUGCUUCGAAGAUUCGACUGCAACUUUGACCUCAAGGUUGCUGAAUGGGGAACGGGUGGUAGUAAGCAGGGUAAAAUGACACCAGGAAUGAAGAAAGGCAAGGUUUGCAACUCUGUCCUGCUUUGUCUUUUUAGGUCCUAAAUGCUCAGAAAGCUGGGUAUGGUGCAGCUGUGGUACACAACGUGAAUUCCAAUGAACUUCUAAACAUGGUGUGGAAUAGUGGUGAGGAUGAAGAAGUCUGUACUGCUGGGUCUCUCCAUAUAGUUCAGUGGGAGGGCUAAAGACCUACAGGGCAGUUGGUUGAGACCUGCAAAAUGUGCCUAAAGCCAGUUUCAGGGGAUUGAGGAAUGGAAGGUUAAAUCCCUAAUCUCCUGCUCCCUACAG